GAUGAACGCUGGCGGCGUGCCUAAUACAUGCAAGUCGAGCGAACGGACGAGAAGCUUGCUUCUCUGAUGUUAGCGGCGGACGGGUGAGUAACACGUGGAUAACCUACCUAUAAGACUGGGAUAACUUCGGGAAACCGGAGCUAAUACCGGAUAAUAUUUUGAACCGCAUGGUUCAAAAGUGAAAGACGGUCUUGCUGUCACUUAUAGAUGGAUCCGCGCUGCAUUAGCUAGUUGGUAAGGUAACGGCUUACCAAGGCAACGAUGCAUAGCCGACCUGAGAGGGUGAUCGGCCACACUGGAACUGAGACACGGUCCAGACUCCUACGGGAGGCAGCAGCAGGGAAUCUUCCGCAAUGGCCGAAAGCCUGACGGAGCAACGCCGCGUGAGUGAUGAAGGUCUUCGGAUCGUAAAACUCUGUUAUUAGGGAAGAACAUAUGUGUAAGUAACUGUGCACAUCUUGACGGUACCUAAUCAGAAAGCCACGGCUAACUACGUG
Molecule: ribosomal RNA, 497 nt
Filed under: uncultured bacterium
Lineage: Bacteria
Description: partial 16S ribosomal RNA
Rfam family: Bacterial small subunit ribosomal RNA
Source: RNAcentral